GAUGAACGCUAGCUACAGGCUUGACACAUGCAAGUCGAGGGGAAACGACAUCGAAAGCUUGCUUUUGAUGGGCGUCGACCGGCGCACGGGUGAGUAACGCGCAUCCAACCUGCCCACCACUUGGGGAUAACCUUGCGAAAGUAAGACUAAUACCCAAUGAUAUCUCUAGAAGACAUCUGAAAGAGAUUAAAGAUUUAUCGGUGAUGGAUGGGGAUGCGUCUGAUUAGCUUGUUGGCGGGGUAACGGCCCACCAAGGCUACGAUCAGUAGGGGUUCUGAGAGGAAGGUCCCCCACAUUGGAACUGAGACACGGUCCAAACUCCUACGGGAGGCAGCAGUGAGGAAUAUUGGUCAAUGGGCGAGAGCCUGAACCAGCCAAGUAGCGUGCAGGAUGACGGCCCUAUGGGUUGUAAACUGCUUUGAUAAGGGAAUAAAGUGAGCCUCGUGAGGCUUUUUGCAUGUACCUUAUGAAUAAGGACCGGCUAAUUCCGUGCCAGCAGCCGCAGUAA
This 508-nucleotide ribosomal RNA is filed under the name uncultured bacterium. RNAcentral's name for it is "partial 16S ribosomal RNA". It matches the Rfam family "Bacterial small subunit ribosomal RNA", at positions 28 to 523 of the family's 1533-position model. The record is from RNAcentral.